GAUGAACGCUGGCGGCGUGCUUAACACAUGCAAGUCGAACGGGAAACAUUUUAUUGAAGCUUCGGCAGAUUUAGCUUGUUUCCAGUGGCGGACGGGUGAGUAACGCGUGGGGAACCUGCCUUAUACUGGGGGAUAACAGCCAGAAAUGGCUGCUAAUACCGCAUAAGCGCACAGAGGCGCAUGCCUCAGUGUGAAAAACUCCGGUGGUAUAAGAUGGACCCGCGUUGGAUUAGCUUGUUGGCGGGGUAACGGCCCACCAAGGCGACGAUCCAUAGCCGGCCUGAGAGGGUGAACGGCCACAUUGGGACUGAGACACGGGCCCAGGACUCCUACGGGAGGCAGCAGUGGGGAAUAUUGCACAAUGGGGGAAACCCUGAUGCAGCGACGCCGCGUGAAGGAAGAAGUAUCUC
RNAcentral lists this ribosomal RNA (410 nucleotides) under uncultured bacterium. Its description in RNAcentral is "bacterial SSU rRNA". It matches the Rfam family "Bacterial small subunit ribosomal RNA", at positions 28 to 419 of the family's 1533-position model. The record is from RNAcentral.